RNAcentral lists this ribosomal RNA (440 nucleotides) under uncultured bacterium. RNAcentral's name for it is "partial 16S ribosomal RNA". It matches the Rfam family "Bacterial small subunit ribosomal RNA", at positions 338 to 795 of the family's 1533-position model. The record is from RNAcentral.
CCUACGGGAGGCAGCAGUAGGGAAUAUUGCUCAAUGGGGGAAACCCUGAUGCAGCAACGCCGCGUGGGUGAGGAAGUUUUUCGGAUUGUAAACUCCUUUUAUUAGGGAAGAUUAUGACGGUAUCUGACUAAGAAGCACCGGCUAACUCCGUGCCAGCAGCCGCGGUAAUACGUAGGGUGCAAGCGUUACUCGGAUUGACUGGGCGUAAAGGGUGCGUAGACGGGGUAUUAAGUCAGAAGUGAAAUCCUGGAGCUUAACUACAGGACUGCAUUUGAAACUGUUACUCUGGAGUGUGGGAGAGGUAGGUGGAAUUCUUGGUGUAGCGGUAAAAUCCGUAGAGAUCAAGAGGAAUACUCAUGGCGAAGGCGACCUGCUGGAACAUUACUGACGCUGAUGCACGAAAGCGUGGGGAGCAAACAGGAUUAGAUACCCUAGUAGUC